This 501-nucleotide ribosomal RNA is filed under the name uncultured bacterium. Its description in RNAcentral is "partial 16S ribosomal RNA". It matches the Rfam family "Bacterial small subunit ribosomal RNA", at positions 29 to 523 of the family's 1533-position model. The record is from RNAcentral.
AUUGAACGCUGGCGGCAUGCCUUACACAUGCAAGUCGAACGGCAGCACGGGUGCUUGCACCUGGUGGCGAGCGGCGAACGGGUGAGUAAUACAUCGGAACGUACCUUAUCGUGGGGGAUAACGCAGCGAAAGCUGUGCUAAUACCGCAUACGCACUGAGGGGGAAAGCGGGGGAUCGCAAGACCUCGCGCGAUUAGAGCGGCCGAUGCCUGAUUAGCUUGUUGGUGGGGUAAAAGCCCACCAAGGCGACGCUCAGUAGCUGGGCUGAGAGGACGAUCAGCCACACUGGGACUGAGACACGGCCCAGACUCCUACGGGAGGCAGCAGUGGGGAAUUUUGGACAAUGGGGGCAACCCUGAUCCAGCAAUGCCGCGUGAGUGAAGAAGGCCUUCGGGUUGUAAAGCUCUUUUGUCAGGGAAGAAACACCGGCUCUAACACAGUCUGGGAAUGACGGUACCUGAAGAAUAAGCACCGGCUAACUACGUGUCAGCCGCCGCGGUAA